Ursus thibetanus thibetanus is the source of this 2122-nucleotide long non-coding RNA. The record is from Ensembl. Lineage: Eukaryota; Metazoa; Chordata; Mammalia; Carnivora; Ursidae.
GCUGGGAUUCCCUCGGCUGAAAGUCUUCCCUAGCAAAGCAGCGGCGCUGACUCUCGGUGGCCGCAGGGCCUAGCUUCUCGCGGCAGAGGGUGUCAUUGGCGGGACACCGGGCAAGGCCCGGAUGUUUUGGUCUUACUUCAAGUUUUUGGAAAUGAAAGGAAACCCUUUAUAAGAAAUACUAAUAAUAACAGCUGAUAUUUCCUGGGUGUUCAAUACAUGCCAGGCACUGUGUUAAACACUCCCCGAUCGGUAAGUCAUUUCAUCUUUUCAACAACAUUGUACGCACGCUCUGACCAAACCGUCUUACAGCUGAGGAAACGGAGGCAGCGAGAGGGGGAGAGAUGGACUCUGGGCUACUGCAUGCGUCACCAUCGCCCCUCCUCGCCCCUUGUCCGCUAGCUCAGUUUCUGCGGGGCAGGAAUCCCGGGCGGGAUAAGCUGGGUGGCUCCGGGCUGGGUCUGUCCUGAGACGGUCGUCAAGGUGUCGCCGAUGCUGCCGGCCCCGAGGGACGGAUGGUGCGGGAUCCACUUGCAGGGGGCUCACUCACGGGGCAGGAGGCCUCAGUGCCUCGUCUCGACACCUCUGCUCAGGACGUGGCAGCUGUCUCUCUCCAGCACGAGUCCCCCAAGACCGAGGACAAGGCAAGCUGGAGCACCCCUUGUGACCUGCCCUCAGAAGUCGCACCCCGUCAUGUCCUCUUUAUGUGUAUGCUUCCAUUUCUUAGAGCAGAUGCCCCCGUCCAGCCCGCGUGCCAGGGCAGGGGCCUUCGGUUCCCGCUUCAGAGGGACUCCCAAAGGCUGUGUGCCCAUCCUGGAAAGCUUGCGUUGUGAGUGGCUUCGCUGGGACUCAAGCCUAAGUCGUCACGGUUCACAAGCUGGGGGACCUUCUUCUUCACCUCCCCCCCCAGGACUAACGUCACACGGUGGCCGGGCUCACUGGGACUUAAUUCCAUCCGGAAAUACAGAAGGAUGGCUGCGCCUGGCCUAACAGCAGUUCACGAACAGACCCUCCGCCUUCGUGAAGGAUCUGGUGGCAGAGGCGGAAAAUGGGCAAGUCAGCAAAUGGAAAGCAUCACAGAAAUUUUGCUGAGUGCUCCAAAGGGAAGUGGGGGUGGCUACUUUAAAUAGGGUUGUCAGACAAACCCCCAAAUCUCAGGGGCUUAAUAAAUCAGAGUCCGUUUCUCUAUUAUUACAUCGGAUCCAGGCACUACCGGGGGUGGUGGCUGUGCUCCAUGUCCUCACACAUGGUCAUAUCUAGUCACUUCUCUGCUUAAAACCUCCCAGGGUAUAAUGGAGGCAGACAGUUUCAGGUCUGUUUCGGCAGACAGCAGCCCCGACACCUUCCAGCACGUGGCUUCCAAGUCAUCUGGUGUCCACUUCUGGGAGAAGGACAGAGGGUGGAGGGGCAUUAUCGGACGUGUCUCUGGGCACGGGCUGUCCCGGGCACGCAGGGCUUGCCGUCACGUUUCAUGGGUUCCAGCUCAGUGACAUGGUCAGCUUCCCCGGGCCUCCAGGACCCAGUGCUACAGACUGGGUGGCUUAGGCGACAGAAAUGGACUGUCUUGCAGUCUGGAGCCUGGAAGUCCAAGACCAAGGUGUUGGCGUGUUGGCUCUUUCUCAGGGUUUGUGAUGGAGAAUGUGCUCCACGCUCCUGUCCACAUUCCGUGAGUUGCAUGCCGCGUCUCUGGUCUUCUAGCUUCUGGUGAUUUGCUGGCAAUCUUUGGCGUUGCCUUCCCUUGUGGAAGCACCACCGCCUUCAUCUCCACGUGAUGUUCUCCCUGCAUGUGCGUCUGUGUCCAAAUUGGCCCUUUCCGUAAGGACACCUGUCAUGUUGGCUUAGGGACCCACCCUACUUCAGUCUGACUUCAUCAUUACUACUUAUACCUGCAAUGAUCCUAUUUCCAAAUAAGGUCACACGCUAAGGUCCUGGGGGUUAAGUCCCAAGUCUUCAACAUACAAGUUUUUAUGGGAUGCCAUUCAACACUUAGCACAUAGUAAUACCUACUUGCAAAAGGGGCUGGGAAAUGUGGUUCAGUUGUGCGCCAGCGAGACGAGGAAACCCACUUGGGGAAGAGUGAGCUGCCUCCAUUACACCCUGGAAGGUUUUAAGCAGAGGAGCGCCC